Molecule: ribosomal RNA, 493 nt
Filed under: uncultured bacterium
Lineage: Bacteria
Description: partial 16S ribosomal RNA
Rfam family: Bacterial small subunit ribosomal RNA
Source: RNAcentral
UGGGGAAUAUUGGACAAUGGGGGCAACCCUGAUCCAGCCAUGCCGCGUGAGUGAUGAAGGCCUUCGGGUUGUAAAGCUCUUUUGGCGGGGACGAUGAUGACGGUACCCGCAGAAUAAGCCCCGGCUAACUUCGUGCCAGCAGCCGCGGUAAGACGAAGGGGGCUAGCGUUGUUCGGAAUUACUGGGCGUAAAGCGAGUGUAGGCGGUUGCCGUAGUCAGGUGUGAAAGCCUUGAGCUCAACUCAAGAAAUGCACUUGAUACUGGGUGACUAGAGGACCGGAGAGGAUAGUGGAAUUCCCAGUGUAGUGGUGAAAUACGUAGAGAUUGGGAAGAACACCAGUGGCGAAGGCGGCUAUCUGGACGGUUACUGACGCUAAGACUCGAAAGCGUGGGGAGCAAACAGGAUUAGAUACCCUGGCAGUCCACGCCGUAAACGAUGGGUGCUAGACGUCGGCGAGCUUGCUCGUCAGUGUCGCAGCUAACGCGUUAAGCA